Molecule: ribosomal RNA, 603 nt
Filed under: Anabaena sp. 121
Lineage: Bacteria; Bacillati; Cyanobacteriota; Cyanophyceae; Nostocales; Nostocaceae
Description: bacterial SSU rRNA
Rfam family: Bacterial small subunit ribosomal RNA
Source: RNAcentral
GCUACACAUGCAAGUCGAACGGAAUCUUCGGAUUUAGUGGCGGACGGGUGAGUAACGCGUGAGAAUCUAGCUCUAGGUCGGGGACAACCACUGGAAACGGUGGCUAAUACCGGAUGUGCCGAAAGGUGAAAGAUUUAUUGCCUAGAGAUGAGCUCGCGUCUGAUUAGCUAGUUGGUGUGGUAAGAGCGCACCAAGGCGACGAUCAGUAGCUGGUCUGAGAGGAUGAUCAGCCACACUGGGACUGAGACACGGCCCAGACUCCUACGGGAGGCAGCAGUGGGGAAUUUUCCGCAAUGGGCGAAAGCCUGACGGAGCAAUACCGCGUGAGGGAGGAAGGCUCUUGGGUUGUAAACCUCUUUUCUCAGGGAAUAAGAAAGUGAAGGUACCUGAGGAAUAAGCAUCGGCUAACUCCGUGCCAGCAGCCGCGGUAAUACGGAGGAUGCAAGCGUUAUCCGGAAUGAUUGGGCGUAAAGCGUCCGCAGGUGGCACUGUAAGUCUGCUGUUAAAGAGCAAGGCUCAACCUUGUAAAGGCAGUGGAAACUACAGAGCUAGAGUACGUUCGGGGCAGAGGGAAUUCCUGGUGUAGCGGUGAAAUGCGUAGAA